GGGUCAGAGAUUUACGAGAGUGCGCCUCAC
This 30-nucleotide unclassified non-coding RNA is filed under the name Dictyostelium discoideum. Lineage: Eukaryota; Evosea; Eumycetozoa; Dictyosteliales; Dictyosteliaceae. The record is from RNAcentral.